CCUACGGGAGGCAGCAGUGGGGGAUAUUGCACAAUGGGCGGAACCCUGAUGCAGCGACGCCGCGUGUGGGAAGACGGUCCUCUGGAUUUUAAACUACUUUCUCCAGGAACGAAAAUGACGGUAUCUGGCGAGCAAGCUCUGGCUAACUACGAGCCAGCAGCCGCGGCAAUGGGUGGGGAGGGAGCGUUGUCCGGAAUUACGGGGUGAACGGGGAGCGUAGGCGUAGAUGAAAGUUGGGUGUCAAAACUACGGGAUAAACGGGGAGUCGCACUGGAAACUGCAGCUCUUGAGUGAAGUAGAGGCGGGCGGAAUUCCUAGUGUAGCGGUGAAAUGCGUAGAUAUUAGGAGGAACACCAGUGGCGAAGGCGGCCUGCUGGGCUGUUACUGACGCUGAGGCUCGAAAGUGUGGGGAGCAAACAGGAUUAGAUACCCGGGUAGUC
This 440-nucleotide ribosomal RNA is filed under the name uncultured bacterium. RNAcentral's name for it is "partial 16S ribosomal RNA". It matches the Rfam family "Bacterial small subunit ribosomal RNA", at positions 338 to 795 of the family's 1533-position model. The record is from RNAcentral.